Neltuma alba is the source of this 305-nucleotide long non-coding RNA. RefSeq lists it as uncharacterized. The record is from RefSeq and is a predicted model, not a curated record. The transcript is spliced from 2 exons. NCBI's taxonomy places the organism in Eukaryota, Viridiplantae, Streptophyta, Magnoliopsida, Fabales, Fabaceae.
UCCUCAGAACAAACUGAUAUACAGAGGAAAACCCAGUAACACAAAGAAAGGGUCAAGGACACUUAAGUAACACCAUACUUUUCAUUCGUGCUACAAGAGAAAGAUGGUUUUUCCCAAUUAAUAAGCUUUUUUGGAGAUCUCUGUAUCAUUAGUUAUCAAAUAAUUAUUAGACAAUUGUUAGUUACAUGUGGCACUAAAUACGAAUGAAAAUAAUAAAGAAUUUAUGAAUGCCCCUUCCCGUUUUAUGUAAAGGGCAUCUGCUUCUAAAAGAUGCUUUUGAUAAUGUUUUUCAAGACAUUUGGCAA